Molecule: ribosomal RNA, 253 nt
Filed under: uncultured bacterium
Lineage: Bacteria
Description: partial 16S ribosomal RNA
Rfam family: Bacterial small subunit ribosomal RNA
Source: RNAcentral
UACGAAGGGGGCUAGCGUUGCUCGGAAUCACUGGGCGUAAAGCGCACGUAGGCGGCUUGUUAAGUCAGGGGUGAAAUCCUGGAGCUCAACUCCAGAACUGCCUUUGAUACUGGGGAUCUCGAGUCCGGAAGAGGUGAGUGGAACUGCGAGUGUAGAGGUGAAAUUCGUAGAUAUUCGCAAGAACACCAGUGGCGAAGGCGGCUCACUGGUCCGGUACUGACGCUGAGGUGCGAAAGCGUGGGGAGCAAACAGG